This 253-nucleotide ribosomal RNA is filed under the name uncultured bacterium. RNAcentral describes it as "partial 16S ribosomal RNA". It matches the Rfam family "Bacterial small subunit ribosomal RNA", at positions 524 to 776 of the family's 1533-position model. The record is from RNAcentral.
UACAGAGGGUGCGAGCGUUGUCCGGAAUCACUGGGCGUAAAGGGCGCGUAGGCGGCUUUUCGCGCGUGCGGUGAAAGCCCGGGGCUUAACUCCGGGUCGGCCGUGCGAACGGGGAAGCUGGAGUCCGGUAGAGGCCGAUGGAAUUCCGGGUGUAGCGGUGGAAUGCGUAGAGAUCCGGAAGAACACCGGUGGCGAAGGCGGUCGGCUGGGCCGGAACUGACGCUGAGGCGCGACAGCGUGGGGAGCAAACAGG